Molecule: long non-coding RNA, 303 nt
Organism: Harpia harpyja (harpy eagle)
Lineage: Eukaryota; Metazoa; Chordata; Aves; Accipitriformes; Accipitridae
Exons: 3
Source: RefSeq, a predicted model, not a curated record
CUGGAAUACUUCCUCAUCCAGUCCUGGGUAAAGACAAGGAGAAGCCUUCUGAAACAAAGUAAGCUGCUGUUCAUGAGUGACUGCUCGGAUCAGUGUUCUGACUGGAAGAAAUUUGGCAAAGGCAAGGGGUCCUGAAAAAACUGACAGGAUGAAGCAACUGUCUUUAUAUUGGAGUAAAUUAAAUUGAGUGUAAAGAUGAAGAUACUCUCUAGGUCAGAAGGAUUUCUGGCAGAUGUGUCUUCUUUUACAAUAUCCUUGCUAAUCAAAGCUGGACGUCGGUGGAUGGAUUGACGUACCACUGAG